AACGUAGGGGACAAGCGUUAUCCGGAUUUACUGGGCGUAAAGCGCCCGUAGGCGGCCUGAUAAGUUGGACGUGAAAGCUCCCGGCUUAACUGGGAGAGGCCGUUCAAAACUGUAAGGCUAGAGUGAGGCAGAGGAGCGCGGAAUUCCCGGUGUAGUGGUGGAAUGCGUAGAUAUCGGGAGGAACACCAGUGGCGAAAGCGGCGCUCUGGGCCUAAACUGACGCUGAGGGGCGAAAGCGUGGGGAGCGAACGGG
RNAcentral lists this ribosomal RNA (253 nucleotides) under uncultured bacterium. RNAcentral's name for it is "partial 16S ribosomal RNA". It matches the Rfam family "Bacterial small subunit ribosomal RNA", at positions 524 to 776 of the family's 1533-position model. The record is from RNAcentral.